AUUGAACGCUGGCGGCAUGCUUUACACAUGCAAGUCGAGCGGCAGCGCGGGAGCAAUCCUGGCGGCGAGCGGCGAACGGGUGAGGAAUACAUCGGAACGUACCCCGGAGUGGGGGAUAACGCCGCGAAAGCGGCGCUAAUACCGCAUAUGCUCUGAGGAGGAAAGUGGGGGACUCGCAAGGGCCUCACGCUCUGGGAGCGGCCGAUGUCCGAUUAGCUAGUGGUGGGGUAAAGGCUUACCAAGGCGACGAUCGGUAGCUGGUCUGAGAGGAUGAUCAGCCACACUGGGACUGAGACACGGCCCAGACUCCUACGGGAGGCAGCAGUGGGGAAUUUUGGACAAUGGGGGCAACCCUGAUCCAGCCAUGCCGCGUGCGGGAAGAAGGCCU
Molecule: ribosomal RNA, 388 nt
Filed under: uncultured bacterium
Lineage: Bacteria
Description: bacterial SSU rRNA
Rfam family: Bacterial small subunit ribosomal RNA
Source: RNAcentral